Molecule: non-coding RNA, 210 nt
Organism: Vicia faba (fava bean)
Lineage: Eukaryota; Viridiplantae; Streptophyta; Magnoliopsida; Fabales; Fabaceae
Source: the annotation of a GenBank genome assembly
AUGUUAUUUUAUCUAUGUACUGGUAGAAAGAUGAAUGACCCUUUUAUCCUAUUCAACUACUUGAGGAAUCUGGUUAGAGAAACCAGAUCAGGUGGUUCUAAACAUAGGAAAUGGAUUCCUAUGGGUAGAAUUAUCUUUGACAUUCUGAUAGAAAGUAAGCUGGUGGAGUCUUUUCAGAAACUCAACAUGACUAAGGAUAUUGCUACAUAA